CUUGUUUGAUCGCAGCGAGCUCGACGGCCAGGCGUCUGGUGGUGAUGAUAAUGAUGAUGAUGACUGGAUCUUGGAGGAGGAGCAGGGAAGUCCAGAGAGGCCCUGGUCACAAAGCUUAGCCACAAUAUUUUCUCCCCUGUUUUCAGAGGUAAUGCCUCCAUGAGGACCCGAAUGCGGUGAAGGAAUGCAUGUUAUUGAUAGUUUAUUACACAUUAAUUAAAAGAGAGCUGUUUUUCUCACAGUUAAAGGAUAAAGGCGUCUCCAGUAAUGGCAAACCUGAAGCGGCCGCAGAGCUGCAGAAGACUCUCCUCCUGGCUGAAGAUAUUCACCCAGGGAUCUGUGACUCCCUCGUAGCUGAGCUAGUGCAGAGACUCCAGAGGUUUUCUGUGCCACAUGCAGCUGCUGCUCAGUGAGACUCGUUCACCGUCUCAGCUCCACUUUUCCACUCCAGUGGCUACAAUCAGAUUUCCUGCUCCAUCCUCCACAGCUAGGAUGAAGUUUCACUGGUGGAUGUCCAUCACUCAUCUGCCUGAUGCAAAACCCUGGACUAAGUCAAUGUGUGUUAGCUCAGGCAGCUAGCAUAGCAUCGGAGGGUCCUCCUAUUCAGGACAGCCAGGGGCCAUUGAGUCGGCUGUUGUUUCCCUUUACGUCCUCGGCUGUUUUCUGUUCAGAAUGGACUAAACUUUCUUCCUGUAGGACUGCAGACGCUCUUUAGAAUUUAUAGAUUUAUUUUGUCAAAGGUUUACAUUCAGCUUAAUUGAGGAGGAAAAUUUGCUUAGCUAAUCUUAUUGUUUAUGUGUGGCUGGAAUGGUUCAUCUCAGGUAUCCUGGGUCCUUUAGGAGAUGUGGAAAGUUUUACUGGGUGGUUUUUACAGACUCCACAUAUCAGGCCUGAUAAAAUAAUGGUUGUUUGGAUCCAUGGUGUACAAACGGCCAAAUGAAAACUGUAGACAAUGAACAUGAGGGGAAUGUUUUAGGACUAAAGUGGCCACACAUGAGAUUGCCUUGCGUCUGUACCUUUUUUUGUUUUUCUAUGUCUGUCUAAUCCUCUCAGAGAUUGAAACACCUAGUGUUUGUCUAAAUGUUAGAACUUUUCUUUUUUCUGUUAAUUCUAGGUUUCACACUGGUGGCUGUAAUUUAUUUGGAGAAUGUAACAAUUGGCUCCUCUCGACACUCAGGUGCUGCUUUCUGUUCUGAUUUCCUGGGAACGACUUGUUUUGUUAGUUUUUAUUUAGGUAUUUAAUCAUAUGUUGAUAUAAAUCCCAACAGCAGAGCAGUGCCAUCAUUUAGUUAUUAGAAAAGUAGCGGCGGCGGUAUAAUAUUUUUUUUUCCUGUACCUGCAGCGUUCAUUGCACUGUAAGUAUAAAAUGCCUUUGACUUUGAACAAAGUAGCCAUAAAACAGUAGCAUGGGAU
This 1413-nucleotide long non-coding RNA is filed under the name Gouania willdenowi (blunt-snouted clingfish). RNAcentral describes it as "lncRNA (ENSGWIG00000024259.1)". Lineage: Eukaryota; Metazoa; Chordata; Actinopteri; Blenniiformes; Gobiesocidae. The record is from RNAcentral.